ACAGGCAAUAAAGAUCGACAUAAAAUCGCAACAUUCAAGCAGUUCGGAAAUUAUACAUUUCCAAUAUUGUAUGUUAACGGUAGAGGAUUUGGACGACAAACUUACGACGCCAUGUCUAUUUUGGCACCGCUGAGGCAAUGCUGUCUUAUUCGAAAAUCAACUUUGUUGAAGUAUAUUAAAUUAUAUUUAGGAGAUGAGAAACUUAGUUUACUAAUGAGAAAAGCAUUAGAAAGUGACCCAGUGCACCUGUUUUAGUUGAAGGACAUUUGAACGCCUUGGAUAGACGUCUUGUAAAAAUUCUGCAUGCUGUAGCAAUCUGCUUACAGUAUCAUGUUGUACGUGACGUAAUUGUUGCAGAUGACUUUUGACGGGGGCUUGAGAUGUCUGAUCUUACACAGUUUUGUAUUUUUAUACAAAGUCAGUUGUCAGUUUUUAUGCUUCCCGAAGGGUGGGCAUAUAGCUGCCGCUUUGCUGGUCCGUCCGCUUCUCUGGCCGGGACAUAACUCUGAAACAACAAGAGGUAUCAACAUGAAACUUUGUAGGUAGAUAGAUGUCAUUGGGUAAAUAUGCAAUGCAAAGAACCAUAACUCUGCCUUGCCUAAUUUUAAAGUCAUUGCCCUUUGUUCAUUUUUAUAUUUUGGACUUUGUGCUGGAUAUUUCUCUUAAACUUUAAGAGAUAUCAACAUAAAACUUUAUAAGUAGAUAUAUCUAAUUGGAUAAAAGUGCAGUGUAAAGAACCAUAACUCUGCCUUGUCUUAUUUUAGAGUAAUUGCCCUUUGUUCAUUUCUUUUACUUUGAACUUUGUCCGGGACAUUACUCUAAACUAUAAGAGACAUCAACAUGAAACUUAGUAAGUAUUUAGAUCGCAUUGGGUGAAAUGUUCAAAGUGCAAACGAAUCAUAACACUGCCUUGCCUAAUUUUGGAGUUAUUGACCUUUGAUCAUUUUUACACUUUGAACUUUGGGACAUAACUCUAAAACUAUAAAAUAUUUCAACAUGAAACAAUAUAGGUAGAUAGAUCUCAUAGCGUAGGAGUGUAGAGCAAAAUAUUCAUUAAUCUGCAGAGCCUAAGUUUGGAAUAAUUAAACUUUAAACUUUGUUCGGGACAUAACUUUAAAACUACAAAAUGUAUACUUUUCUGUGUCCAAAGCCUAUUCGGGGAGCAUCACCUGGUUCAACCGGCUCUUGCAUAUAAAGUUUCUUUACUUGAUUCCUUACAGACCUGUGGUUAUAUCUUAUAUUAAGAAAAAAAGUUAAAAUGUAACUGUUUAAAUUCAAAUUAUUAUUGUCUUGUAACGCACUACAUUACGCCCACUGAAUAUAUAUGUCCCACCGGA
Ruditapes philippinarum (Manila clam) is the source of this 1337-nucleotide long non-coding RNA. RefSeq lists it as uncharacterized. The transcript has 2 exons. NCBI's taxonomy places the organism in Eukaryota, Metazoa, Mollusca, Bivalvia, Venerida, Veneridae. The record is from RefSeq and is a predicted model, not a curated record.